RNAcentral lists this transfer RNA (23 nucleotides) under Malacocincla sepiaria. Its description in RNAcentral is "partial tRNA-Thr". Lineage: Eukaryota; Metazoa; Chordata; Aves; Passeriformes; Timaliidae. The record is from RNAcentral.
CACUCUAAUAGUUUAUGAAAACA